UUUUUUUUGGGUAUUUGAUUUUUAAAUCUUAGUAUUCGUCUGAUAUUCAAAUCCGUAUUUAUUUAUAUAUUUAUUAUAAUAUAAGAUAAAAAUAUACAGAAUAUAUCUGAACUAUAGACCAUUUUGAUUGUACUACCAAAUCUUUCAAUUUAUUAGAUUUGAGUCAUUCAACGACUUUUUAACUUUAAAUUUAAAUGUGCUGUUUAUCUUUAUAGAUUUAGUUAAUAUAUUUUGUAUAGUUUUCGUAACUAUAAAUUGAUUAAAGUAAAUAAUUAGCUAAAAUAUUGAAGUCAAAGUACUUUUAACGGACUCAAAUCAAAUAAAUUAAAAUGUUGGACAAUAAAAUUAAGAUAUUAUAAGAUAGGAUAGCAGAUUCAAAAUCUAUAUUUUACCUCUUUAAAGUUUCAGAAAUAUUUUCAGUGAAUUACGACGUUAAUGAGAAUAGCGAAAUGAUCGAACUAUCUUUUACUUAUUCUAUAAAAAAAAUAAUUUUUUUUAACAUAUUUGUAUUAUUUUUAAUAGUAUUUUCGGUAUGAAUUAUAAAAAUAUACGGAAUAAUAAUGAAACCUAGAAGAGUCUAAAUACAUCAACUUAAAACUUUAAUAAAGGUAUAAAAUAUAAAAUUUUGAAAUUAAAAAGAUUUAAAAUAAAAAAAAAGAUUUUUAUAAAUUU
This 672-nucleotide long non-coding RNA is filed under the name Ananas comosus (pineapple). Its description in RNAcentral is "long non-coding RNA (ACOM_LNC031102)". The record is from RNAcentral. Lineage: Eukaryota; Viridiplantae; Streptophyta; Magnoliopsida; Poales; Bromeliaceae.